ACCCUCUAAGGAUCACAUCUGGAGAGUUUCCAAUACUCUACCGGUCUUGACUAGGGGAGGGAGAGUCAAGCAGAAGCAUACCCAUUCAAUUCCUAAUUUGGGCAGUGGCUAGUGUGUGGAAGGCAAUCUGCUACAGCU
Small nucleolar RNA from Tachyglossus aculeatus (Australian echidna), 138 nucleotides. The record is from RefSeq and is a predicted model, not a curated record. Lineage: Eukaryota; Metazoa; Chordata; Mammalia; Monotremata; Tachyglossidae.